Glycine soja is the source of this 923-nucleotide long non-coding RNA. RefSeq lists it as uncharacterized. Lineage: Eukaryota; Viridiplantae; Streptophyta; Magnoliopsida; Fabales; Fabaceae. The record is from RefSeq and is a predicted model, not a curated record. The transcript has 4 exons.
UUUGCGUCUUUGUUAAUCUUCCGUUCCUCUCUCUUUCUCUCCCUCGUCUUCUCCUCUUUUCUUCCGCUUAAGGGCCUUCUUUGUUCGAUUUUUUUCGCUUUGAUUUUUAUAUUGCUUUGGAUAGAAAAAAGGUGUGACCUUUUGUCUAUUUUAUUCCUUUUUUUGUCUAAUUUUUUGUGGUGAUUUUUGGGACAGGCUAACGGCGGUGCUGAAGGUCACAGCGCUUUGCCCAUGCAAGGGCCUUCUUUGUUCGGUUUUUUCCCUCUUUGGUUAUUAUAUUGCUUUGUACGGGAAAAAGGUGUAACCUUUGUCUGAUUCCGACGAGGUUCCACGCAAAAAAGGCUAACGACGAUGCUGAAGGUCACAACGCUUUGCCAUGGAAGGGCCUUCUUUGUUCGAUUUUUUUCCGCUUUGGUUUUAAUAUUGCUUUGGACGGGAAAAAGGUGUGACCUUUGUCUGAUUUCGACGAGGUUCCAUUUUUAUCUAUUUUCCCCUUGGACGAAAAAAAGGUUAACGGCGGUGCUAAAGGUGACGAUGUUUUGCCAUGCAAGGGCCUUCUUUGUUCGGUUUUUUUUUUUCGCUUUGGUUUUUAUAUUGCUUUGGACGGGAAAAAGGUGUGACCUUUGUCUGAUUCCGAUGAGGUUCCAUUUUUAUCUAUUUUCCCCUUGGACAGAAAAAGGUGUGACCUUUCGCAAUAAUAUGAUUCACAGGGCAGUGUUGAAGAAUAAAGGAUGGUGAAGCUGCAACUGAGGAGGUGAAAAAGAGUUACCAUGUUCUGAGACAAAUAGAGUGAUGAUGACCCCAUUUUGAUUGAUGGAGAAAUUUUUAUGUUACUUUGUUUUAACAUUUUAAAGUUGUAAUUUAAUCAUUAUGGUUUUCAGACAAUGCAUUGUAUUGUUUAUAAUUUGCUGAAAAACGUAAAU